Molecule: long non-coding RNA, 1169 nt
Organism: Drosophila sechellia
Lineage: Eukaryota; Metazoa; Arthropoda; Insecta; Diptera; Drosophilidae
Exons: 3
Source: RefSeq, a predicted model, not a curated record
UAUUUAAUUUCCUUUCAUUACAGGUUAGCGGAAAAUUCGUUGAAGAUACAGAACUGAGGAGAAAUAUGCAAUUUAAGGACAUGUUUUGCAGGAUGUUGGUGUGGCAUCUGCGCCACGCAAUUGCUCUUUAUUUAUGCAAUGGCGUCAGGAGAUGGAGACGGCAUCAUAAAAUUGUCGGUUUUUUGUAUCUAUAAUCGCAAAAGUUGGCGAUUUUGUUUUGCUAUAGUGAGGCCCGUCUCCUGAUUUACGUGCGCAUCAUCGGCAGGAUGAGGGCGAAUUUUUGUAUCUGCUGGAUUGCCUGUCAGGUUUGCAAUUUUCUGUGUCUUUGAUUAAUUUAGUAUUAUAUUUUUAUUAAUUUUCCUUUCUUUAUAGGUUGUCGGGAAGUCAUUGAGAAAACGGUAUUGCGGAGAUUUAUACAAUUUGGAGACGGAUUUUAAUUCAUUUUAAUAUGAAGUUAGUUCCGGGAUAGUGAUCCUUGUGAGUGCAGUGGCAUCAGGAGAUGGAGACGGCGUUGUAAGGUUGUCAGUUUUUUGUGUUUAUAAUCGCGAAAGGUGGCGAUUUUGUUUUUCUUUUGCGGAGCCGGUCUUCUCUUGAUGGUUGUGUUGGAUCACCAGUUGGCUCUGGUUAUUGAGGUAAGUGCUUUAUUUAUUUGUUUUGUUUAUUUUCUUAUUGGUUAAUUGAUUUGUUUUCAGGUUUUAGCGUCAACUAAUGUAGGCGCUCGUCGAUCUGGAAGAUUAUCAGAGUAGCAGGAAGGAUAGAUUUUGCUGCUCCGCGCAAGGUGCCCUGAUCGGAGCAUAGGCAGCUUAUAUGGCCCGUCAAUUGCAGCGCAGCACUGCAAGUAGAUUGUAUCGGUGAUAAGGGAUACUACCAGGGACUGUGUGGCGAAGAAAGUUCAGUUGGUUUUCUCCGCAUCGUUUCGUCAGGAUCAGCUGGAGUGCGUUGUCUUAGGAUUGCUCAUCCGGAUGCGUUGAGAUAAAUUAGGCUGCGUCGAGAAGGGUGGUGACAGUGGAGGAGGUUUAUAAGCAGACAGACGUGCGCUUUUCCAUCGGAUAAAGAUAUCGUUUAUUUAGAUGUAAGAGGAUAUAGAUUUAAUUUGAUGUGUCCAUGUCAAGAUUAUUGUUUCUUAUUUGUAAGAUUAAGGCCAUUAAAAUGUCAAUUUUCUUUUCUAA